This 484-nucleotide ribosomal RNA is filed under the name uncultured bacterium. Its description in RNAcentral is "bacterial SSU rRNA". It matches the Rfam family "Bacterial small subunit ribosomal RNA", at positions 29 to 507 of the family's 1533-position model. The record is from RNAcentral.
AUUGAACGCUGGCGGAAUGCUUUACACAUGCAAGUCGAGCGGCAGCGCGGGGGCAACCUGGCGGCGAGCGGCGAACGGGUGAGUAAUACAUCGGAACGUGCCCAGACGUGGGGGGAUAACUACUCGAAAGAGUGGCUAAUACCGCAUACGAUCUGAGGAUGAAAGCGGGGGAUCGCAAGACCUCGCGCGUCUGGAGCGGCCGAUGGCAGAUUAGGUAGUUGGUGAGGUAAAGGCUUACCAAGCCUGCGAUCUGUAGCUGGUCUGAGAGGAUGAUCAGCCACACUGGGACAGAGACACGGCCCAGACUCCUACGGGAGGCAGCAGUGGGGAAUUUUGGACAAUGGGCGAAAGCCUGAUCCAGCCAUUCCGCGUGCAGGAUGAAGGCCCUCGGGUUGUAAACUGCUUUUGUACGGAACGAAAAGACUCCGGCUAAUACCUGGAGUCCAUGACGGUACCGUAAGAAUAAGCACCGGCUAACUACGUG